This 322-nucleotide long non-coding RNA is filed under the name Neodiprion pinetum (white pine sawfly). Its description in RNAcentral is "uncharacterized LOC124220266". The record is from RNAcentral. Lineage: Eukaryota; Metazoa; Arthropoda; Insecta; Hymenoptera; Diprionidae.
CGUUCUUUUUUGCAGAACAUAGCACGCACAAAAUUGCUAUUCACCUCCAUACAUAGAACUCUUUCCUCGGUGAGCUGUUUUUGGGAAAACUGAGGUGAAAAGCAUUUGGAAUCCUAACCCUACUUCUUCUACGGCAUCGUCAACAAUUGCUGUCUCUCUCUCUCUGAUACUGGGCUAUGCGCAUGCGUCAAAGCUUGGAUGCGAUUGGAGAUCGUGCCUGCUGUCUUGUUUCUGCUUCUCCAAUGAUUGCGUCGUGAUCUACCACUCACUGUUCGAUCAUUCUGCCUGAGCUGCUUGGAAAUUACUACUAAUGUUAUCUGCU